CGAUCUGCUACAACUUAACAAAUGGUACUUUUUCAUUCGAACUUUAUCUUCGUCUUGAAAAUGAUUUUAAGAGCGAAUCAACGAAGCCAUUCACAUUAUAUAUGUGGAUAUAUACCAGAAUAUUUGACGUGCAAUACUGUAAAUCACAAUAUAAGGAUAUAAUAUUUAUUAUAUCAUUUCAAAACACUCCAUGGACUAAAACUAACAUGUCAAACAACACAAACGUUGAAUAUUAAAUUAGAAGGAAAAGGGAGAUAAUCGUAGCUACUUUAUCGUUACGUAACCAU
This 287-nucleotide long non-coding RNA is filed under the name Mytilus galloprovincialis (Mediterranean mussel). The record is from RNAcentral. Lineage: Eukaryota; Metazoa; Mollusca; Bivalvia; Mytilida; Mytilidae.